This is a long non-coding RNA of Drosophila sechellia, 621 nucleotides long. RefSeq lists it as uncharacterized. The transcript is spliced from 2 exons. The record is from RefSeq and is a predicted model, not a curated record. Lineage: Eukaryota; Metazoa; Arthropoda; Insecta; Diptera; Drosophilidae.
GUCGCUCAUACAAUGGUACACGUCUCCCAAGCCAACGUGAGCGUCAUAUUAAUUUAUGAGCACCAAAAAUAUGCCAAAAACCCAUACAAAAAAGUUGACCCAUUCAUUCGGCGAGCGACCUUCCCCAACCGCCCCCCUGAAAACCGCCACCCACAUAAGCAGGCACCCUGUCGCGCUUGAUAUUCCGCCCCCCUUGGGGGUGGGCGUGAUACUUUUGGGGCAGAUUAGCGCAGCUGCCAAGCGCCAGCACCGACGCCUACCGUUGUUGCUGCCCCACAGUGGGCUGAUAUGCAAAUUUCGGAUGUGCUUAUUAUCCGGCUAUGGCCAUUAGAUUGCUCUGAAGCUGAUAAAUUGCAGUCAAACGGAGAGGAGAACCAUUCUGCCUGGCGGAAAAAUCAAAAAAAAUCGGAGAAUUUUCGGGUCCUCAAGCGGAUAAUUCGGUGCAUCUCAGAUCAAUAAGGUGGAUCCAUGGCUGCCUCCUAUUUUUCGAAGGCCAUUUAUUGUUCGAUUUUAUGGCUGAGCUUAUAAUUUUUUUUUUUUUGCUAGCUCUGCUGGAGCGCACUCAGCGAACGCCAUGUUGCGGUCCAUAAAAUGCGAUAGAAAUAAAUAAUUGCAACAUUA